This 914-nucleotide ribosomal RNA is filed under the name uncultured bacterium. RNAcentral's name for it is "bacterial SSU rRNA". It matches the Rfam family "Bacterial small subunit ribosomal RNA", at positions 8 to 916 of the family's 1533-position model. The record is from RNAcentral.
AGAGUUUGAUCCUGGCUCAGAACGAACGCUGGCGGCGUGCUUAACACAUGCAAGUCGAGCGCGAAAGGGGCCUUCGGGUUCCGAGUAGAGCGGCAGACGGGUGAGUAACACGUGGGUAACCUGCCUCUGGGUGGGGGAUAACCACCUGAAAGGGUGGCUAAUACCGCAUAAGACCACGUCCUUUUGGGGAUGGGGUCAAAGGCCCUUCGGGGUCGCCAGGAGAGGGGCCCGCGUCCGAUUAGCUGGUUGGCGGGGUAAUGGCCCACCAAGGCGAUGAUCGGUAGCUGGUCUGAGAGGAUGAUCAGCCGCACUGGUACUGAGACACGGACCAGACUCCUACGGGAGGCAGCAGUGGGGAAUAUUGCGCAAUGGGCGAAAGCCUGACGCAGCAACGCCGCGUGGGUGAUGAAGGCCUUCGGGUCGUAAAGCCCUGUCAGGUGGGAAGAAACCUCUCCGCAAGGGGAGCUGACGGUACCACCGAAGGAAGCACCGGCUAACUCCGUGCCAGCAGCCGCGGUAAUACGGAGGGUGCAAGCGUUGUUCGGAAUCACUGGGCGUAAAGGGCGCGUAGGCGGCUAGGGAAGUCCGGUGUGAAAGCCCGGGGCUUAACCCCGGAAGUGCAUUGGAAACUCCCUGGCUUGAGUUCGGAAGAGGAGGGCAGAAUUCCCGGUGUAGGGGUGAAAUCCGUAGAUAUCGGGAGGAAAACCAGUGGCGAAGGCGGCCCUCUGGGACAGAACUGACGCUGAGGCGCGAAAGCGUGGGGAGCAAACAGGAUUAGAGACCCUGGUAGUCCACGCCGUAAACGAUGGAUGCUUGGUGUGGGGAUCAAUAAGGAUCUCCGUGCCGCAGCUAACGCAGUAAGCAUCCCGCCUGGGGAGUACGGUCGCAAGACUAAAACUUAAAGGAAUUGAUGG